UUGAGGCUCUGGUCCGUAAGAAACAACAUUCCCAGGCACAACGUGCCCCCUGUUCGCUCCUGAUUCGGCCCGGCCUCAGGUCCUGGAAUGGGCUCACUCCUCCAGGCUUACCUGUCAUCCUGGAGCUCGUCGUACCCUGGCUUUCCUCCGACAAUGCUUCUGGUGGCCCACCAUGGCUCCUGAUGCCUAGGCCUUCGUCGCCGCAUGCAUGGUGUCUGCUCAAAGCAAGACUCCGCGGCAAGCUCUGUCUGGCCUCCUUCAGCCACUGCCUAUCUCUCAUCGCCCCUUUUCCCAUAUUUCGUCACUGGGCUUCCCCCGUCAGAUGGUAACACCACCAACACCACCAUGCUGACGGUGGUGGAUGGGUUCCCCAGAUGUUCAUCUGCCGCUGUCGGCGUACCUGGAAAAGAGCUCGGGCAGCUCUUCUCAAGACCACCUCUGGGUAUCAUCGGCAAGCGGACCGCCACCGGACUCUGGCUCCCCGCUAUUGGGUCGGGCACAGGGUAUGGUUGUCCACAUGGGACCUGUCCCUCCGGGUGGAAUCCCACAAACUUUCCCCCCGUUUCAUUGGUCCUUUCCCCAUUGCUAGAGUCCUUAGUCCCACUGCUGUCCGUCUGCUGUUACCCCGUACCCUCCGUGUUCACCCAACAUUUCAACUGUUCAAGCCUUUGUCUUCUGUUUCUAGGCCCAUUUCUAGGUGUCAUCGACGGUCAGCCAGCAUACACGGUGAGACGCCUCCUGAGGGUUCGACCAUGGGGCUUGGGUUUCCAGGACCUGGUUGACUGUGGGUUAUGGGCAGGAGGAGAGGUGCUGGGUUCCCACUAAAGACGUCCUGGACCCGACCGUUGUCACCGCCGGCACCCCGGUCAGCCAGGUGGUGCCCAGGUAGGACGCCAGGUGGUGCCCAUAGAGAGGUGUGUGAGCUCGCUCCACAUCAUGGAAGACAGACAGGUACACCCACUAUGACUGGCCAGUCACGCCCCCUGUUGCUCAUCAUUUUAUUUAGUGCGAUGUUUAUUCCUUUCAUUUGGUUUUCAGUAUCAUUUUAAUUUUACAUUUGCUCUUUUGAAAUUGUGUUCCCUGUUUGUCUGUUGCCAGUUCGUCUUGUCAAGUCAACCAGCAUGUUUUUCCAUGCUCCUGCUGUUUCUUAUCUCUCUUUUGAUAGUUCUCCCGGUUUUGACCCUUGCCUGCCUUGACCCUGAAACCACCUGCCUGACCAUACUGCCUGCCCUGACCUCGAGCCUGCCUACCACUCUGUACCUCCUGGACUCUGAC
Molecule: long non-coding RNA, 1275 nt
Organism: Oncorhynchus tshawytscha (Chinook salmon)
Lineage: Eukaryota; Metazoa; Chordata; Actinopteri; Salmoniformes; Salmonidae
Source: Ensembl